RNAcentral lists this ribosomal RNA (543 nucleotides) under uncultured archaeon. RNAcentral's name for it is "bacterial SSU rRNA". It matches the Rfam family "Archaeal small subunit ribosomal RNA", at positions 326 to 869 of the family's 1478-position model. The record is from RNAcentral.
CGGGGUGCACCAGGCGCGAAAACUUUACAAUGCUGGCAACAGCGAUAAGGGGACCUCGAGUGCCAGGAUACAAUCUUGGCUGUCGUGAUGCCUAAAAAGCAUUGCAUAGCAAGGGCCGGGCAAGACCGGUGCCAGCCGCCGCGGUAACACCGGCGGCUCGAGUGGUAACCGCUAUUAUUGGGUCUAAAGGGUCUGUAGCCGGCCGGAUAAGUCUCUUGGGAAAUCCGACAGCUCAACUGUCGGGCUUUCAGGGGAUACUGUUCGGCUCGAGGCCGGGAGAGGUGAGAGGUACUUCAGGGGUAGGGGUGAAAUCUUGUAAUCCUUGAAGGACCACCAGUGGCGAAGGCGUCUCACCAGAACGGUCCUGACGGCAAGGGACGAAAGCUAGGGGCACGAACCGGAUUAGAUACCCGGGUAGUCCUAGCCGUAAACGAUACUCGCUAGGUGUCGGCCACGGUGCGACCGUGGUCGGUGCCGUAGGGAAGCCGUGAAGCGAGCCACCUGGGAAGUACGGCCGCAAGGCUGAAACUUAAAGGAAUUGGC